UUUAAAUAUAGCUAUUCAUAGACCAAAGAAUAGAUAUGUGAUCAAAUUCCAGAUAACCUUAUGAACUUCAGCGUUGUGUAAUUUUGGUCCGGUUUAAAACAUAAAAGACAUGACUCUGAUAAAAAGCAAAAAUUCAUUAUAGAAAAGUUAGUUAAUAUCCAGAAAAAUAUUGAAAUAAUUACGAGGCCAACAAAAACGUAGCUUUCUGAUGAAUUAUAGACUCUAAUCACAUCUGAUUUUUUUUAAAGUGUAUGCUAACAUACGAUAUUCCCGGGCUUGUAUUUCCUAUCAUAAUUUCCUUGAUUGAGGAUUGCUACUCACAUAAUAGCUAUUAAACCAAGAGUUACAAACCGUUAUAGAAUAUUCGUUUCACAAAAUCCUAUAAUCCUGUUCCCUUUUGACCAAUGUGACCUACCGAAUUAAUUAUUAACCGGGUUUGUAAUAACAUGAGCAACAC
RNAcentral lists this long non-coding RNA (457 nucleotides) under Mytilus galloprovincialis (Mediterranean mussel). Lineage: Eukaryota; Metazoa; Mollusca; Bivalvia; Mytilida; Mytilidae. The record is from RNAcentral.